UACCAGACUCCUACGGGAGGCAGCAGUGGGGGAUAUUGCACAAUGGGGGGAACCCUGAUGCAGCGACGCCGCGUGGGUGAAGAAGCGCCUCGGCGCGUAAAGCCCUGUCAGCAGGGAAGAAAAUGACGGUACCUGACUAAGAAGCCCCGGCUAACUACGUGCCAGCAGCCGCGGUAAUACGUAGGGGGCAAGCGUUAUCCGGAUUUACUGGGUGUAAAGGGAGCGUAGACGGCAGUGCAAGUCUGAAGUGAAAGGCGGGGGCCCAACCCCCGGACUGCUUUGGAAACUGUGCUGCUGGAGUGCAGGAGAGGCAAGUGGAAUUCCUAGUGUAGCGGUGAAAUGCGUAGAUAUUAGGAGGAACACCGGCGGCGAAGGCGGCCUGCUGGACCGUGACUGACGUUGAGGCUCGAGAGCGUGGGGAGCAAACAGGAUUAGAUACCCUUGUA
RNAcentral lists this ribosomal RNA (446 nucleotides) under uncultured bacterium. RNAcentral's name for it is "bacterial SSU rRNA". It matches the Rfam family "Bacterial small subunit ribosomal RNA", at positions 329 to 792 of the family's 1533-position model. The record is from RNAcentral.